AUUUGAAAGUUAAAAAGUUGGAAUCCAAAAGAAACAAAAAAAGCAGAAGAGCUUGGUGGCUGUCAGGCAGAGGCGGUGUCAAAUGGCCCCUCCAUAGCUUUCACUCACCAUUUUCAGGCGGUCACUCGACCUUUUCCAUAUCCUUAUCUCUCUCUCCCUCUCCUGUGUUUGUGGGUGUGAGAACUCCGCAGGGCUUUCUUUUUUCUUGUUUUUAUUCCUUUCUCUCGGAGAAUUACAAGGAAGGAAAGAAAGAGAUGGAGUCUGAGAAUAUUGAAGCUAAUCAAGCAAACAAAGAAGGGAUUUCUCUGUACGGUGGCAAGUAUGUACAGUACAACAUUCUGGGUAAUCUCUUUGAAGUCUCCGCCAAAUAUGCCCCUCCUAUUCAUCCAGUCGGUCGCGGUGCAUACGGCAUCGUCUGCUGUGCAACAAACUCUGAGACAAAAGAAGAGGUUGCAAUCAAGAAAUUGGGAAUGCAUUUGACAAUAGGAUCGAUGCGAAGAGGACGCUUCGAGAGAUAAAGCUCCUUUGUCAUAUGGAUCAUGACAAUGUUAUCAAAAUUAAGGACAUCAUAAAGCCGGCAGAUAGGGAAAAGUUCAAUGAUGUUUACUUUGUAUAUGAAUUGAUGGAUACUGACUUGAAUCAGAUAAUACACUCCAGCCAGGCUUUGACAGAUGAUCACUGUCAGUAUUUCCUGUAUCAAUUACUGCGGGGAUUGAAGUACAUACACUCUGCAAAUGUUUUGCACCGCGACCUGAAACCGAGUAACCUGCUUCUCAAUGCAAAUUGUGACCUUAAGAUUUGUGACUUUGGGCUUGCAAGAACUACAUCAGAGACAGAUUUCAUGACAGAAUAUGUUGUAACUCGUUGGUAUCGAGCCCCAGAGUUACUACUCAACUGUUCAGAAUACACUGCAGCAAUUGAUAUUUGGUCAGUAGGGUGCAUCUUCAUGGAAAUUCUUAAGAGGGAACCACUGUUUCCCGGUAAAGACUAUGUUCAGCAGUUGAGUCUCAUAACUGAGCUGCUAGGUUCACCAGAUGAUUCAGAUCUUGGCUUUUUAAGAAGUGAUAAUGCUAGGAAGUAUGUCAAGCAGCUCCCACAUUUCCCGAAGCAACCCUUUGCCGAGAAAUUCCCAAAUGUCUGGCCACUGGCAAUUGAUCUUGCAGAAAGAAUGCUAGUUUUUGAUCCAAGCAAACGUAUUACUGUGGAGGAAGCACUGAACCAUCCAUUUUUAUCAAGUCUUCACGAGAUAAAUGAGGAGCCUGUUUGCCCAUCUCCGUUCGUCUUUGACUUUGAGCAGGCAUCCCUGGAUGAAGAAGAUAUAAAGGAGCUUAUAUGGAGGGAGUCUCUACACUUCAAUCCAGACAACAUGUUGGGAUAAUUUUGUCGGCCGCGACCUGUAUUCUCUUUCUGUUGUGUUUUCCACCGACCGGCAUCUCAUUUGAAGGAUGCUUUUGGUUACGGAAGGUUGGUAAUGUAUCUCAUUUGUGAGGAGAUUCUAUAUAAGAAGAUUAACUAGGGGAGACGGGGGUUCUCCUUUGUGUUGAGAGGAUGAAACGGCGGUUUCAUAACGAGAGUGAUAUGGUAAUGUGAAGCUUCUGGAUUGAUUCAAUCUGAGAGUCUAGUAAGAGCUGAGGGUUCUCCCGGCCUUCUUUGGAUUUGACGUGGUUUGUAUAUAAAAGUAAGAAUAUAGCGGUCUUUAUACUUUUUUGGAUUGGACUUUCUUGUGAACCUUUUUGAGUAAA
Molecule: non-coding RNA, 1742 nt
Organism: Malus domestica (apple)
Lineage: Eukaryota; Viridiplantae; Streptophyta; Magnoliopsida; Rosales; Rosaceae
Source: RefSeq, a predicted model, not a curated record